Spinacia oleracea (spinach) is the source of this 1100-nucleotide long non-coding RNA. RefSeq lists it as uncharacterized. The record is from RefSeq and is a predicted model, not a curated record. Lineage: Eukaryota; Viridiplantae; Streptophyta; Magnoliopsida; Caryophyllales; Amaranthaceae. The transcript is spliced from 2 exons.
UCUAGCACGAUACGAACCGACAAUAAACAAAAUGUUGGACGGGACGUCCAUGAGCCUUAUGUAUAGAACUAUGGAAAGAGAGGCCCGAGAUCGACCCAAUCCGAUUUUUCCUUGGCCCGUUCUAUAAUUUACUCCUGAUAGGGUCAGACGCACGAUAUUCUUUCACAAGUCACGUCUAGGCUUUCUAGCCAAUAUACUCACACAACCCAAUUCCAUAAUUUUGUGGAAAGAUUAUACUUCGUGUUUUGUAAUUGAAUUCCUAUUUGAUUGUUAUCCAAUUUCACUGUAGCCAUCAAAACUAAUCCAUAGCAAGAGAAUCUGCCCUAAUUUCUUCCAUCUUCUUCGAUUGUUUUCGUUGAUUCUCUGACUUGUUUCAGGAACCCAUCAACAAAAUCAACACUAAAUCAUCAAUUUUUUUGUGUGAUGGCUUCAAGAGGAGUAAUGAACAUGGGUGCAUUAGCAUCAAGAGCAAAUAGAAUGAGGACGAAGCUGCAAUCAACAUUGGAAGCAAGUGUUCUUGAAAUUGAAGAUGUUUCACAUCAACAUGCUGGUCAUGCUGCCAUGAGAGAGAGUGAGUAUAGCGGUGGAGAAACCCAUUUCAAUUUGAAGAUUGUUUCCCCUAAAUUCGAGGGUCAAACCCUAGUUAAACGACAUCGAAUGGUGUAUGAUCUCUUAUCUGAUGAGCUUCAGUCUGGUCUUCAUGCUCUCUCUAUUACUGCUAAAACCCCACAAGAAGUUGCUCCUAAAUAAUCGAUUUUGAUUGCAAUUUGGCAGCAAGGUUAAUUCCGAUUCUGGUCCGACAGUAGGGGGCAAUGCUAGAGUUUCAUCGCCUUCAUCGGUUUUUGUAGGUUACUGUUCGAGUGACCUAUUGAAAUUUUUAAAAGCAUGAUUUCUGUUUAUUUGCCAAUUAAUAUGUGGUACAAUCAUGAAUUGAUACUCAUCUUAAUCACUCUGAGAAGAUUGUUGUUCAAUUUGACUACACACUGAUCUCAUGUAGCCCCUUUGUGUAAUUUGCCUGACAUUCUUGUCAUGGUAUCUUUUAAAUGUACACACAGAAACCAGAAUAUGCAUUAGUUUAGAGAUCACAGUUACUCUUUGAA